This 11864-nucleotide long non-coding RNA is filed under the name Gossypium barbadense (sea-island cotton). RNAcentral's name for it is "long non-coding RNA (GBAR_LNC013109)". The record is from RNAcentral. Lineage: Eukaryota; Viridiplantae; Streptophyta; Magnoliopsida; Malvales; Malvaceae.
AUAAACUGAAGCUAUUGAACCAAUUAAUAGAUUUAAAACUUAUUUUUACAUAUAGAUAGAUGUAAUUGAAAUAUAUCAAGAAAUUUUUCGAUGCAUUUAGCACAUAAAAUCCUCCAAAAAAUAAGGAAAACAGUUAAAUAAUAUAACAUGAAGGAUUCAACAAAAACAACCAACAAGGAACAUCACAUUAUUCUUGGAUAACGGCAAUAAUUGUAUCAUUACUGAUUAUCAUCAGUUCUUCAUGGCGCAUCUCUCUAUGCAGGUAUUGACGCAGCCGACAACUUCCUUUGAAGCUGACAAAAACAAAACAAAUCAUUAAGUUAAUAUACGUACUUACUUACCAUCAAAUAUUAAUAUAAAACGGAAAAAGAAAAAUUACCAGGCAUCCUCCCUUGGCUGCUUAGCAUUGAACAUGUCAUGGCAGCACACCCAACAGUGCAGAAUACGGAGCUGCUCGCGAGGUGGGUUUCCUCCAAUGUCUCCACCAGUGCUUCUGACGGCAGGCAGCGUUGAAUACAUUCCCCAAGGGAAGUUCCGUUGGCGACGCAAGUCGUUACGCAAAAAGUAUACCCAAGUCCAAUCGGGACAAGUGCUGUAACAGCUUGACGCGAGGGACUAACAAGGAUCAACAACAGCAAACAGAACAUCAACGCCAAUGAUUUCCCCCCCAUUAUGUAUAUAUUUGAUUUGAUUUGAUAAUGAUUUUUUUGCACUGCUUGAUAUCGGUGUUAUAUACACUUUGAUUGUCAUGCCAAACUACCAAACUGCCUAAUUAAGAUGCCAAACUAUAAUGCCAAAAUUUGAUUGAAUGCAAAAUUAAAAGAACAUUUCUAUAAGUAAUCAAAAUAAUUUGAAAUGAAUUUGUCAUGCCAAACUACAUGGAAAAUGUCUAAUGUCUUGUCCUUUUUUUAGAAUUCUUCCUAAUAAUCUAAAUUCUUCCUAACCAUCCCAAAUAUUCUGAUUGUCAAUGUUCUUUCUCAGAUGUCAUGAAUCACAAAUGAACACUAAACCUUUAACUUCAUAUUUUAAACAUUAACAUCGAAGUAAACACUUAAACCGUGCAAAUAAAAUCUUGAUUCUCACCUUCACAGUGACUGUAUCCAUCUCCUUUGAUUUGCUCGCUAUCAACCAAGAGACAUUCACAAACUCUUCCUCGAAAUGUAUCUUAAGAAGAAAAUCAAUAUAUUCAAAUAAGCUCAUGGAGUAGAGAAUCCCUAUCAAAUCUGUUUCGAUUCAUACCCUGCAGGCUGUGAGAUUUGCUGCUUUUUCUUGCCAACAACCACCAUCAUUUUCCAAGCAUUCAUUCGUCUCCACAUCUGUGAAAAAAGUAACCGCCAUCACUGGUGUUUCAAAUAACAACUGGACAGUAAGUUGAAACACUACACUGGAUUUCUAAAAGCCUAGCUCUCGCCUAUGUUACUUAGUGUGAGAGUUGGAUAAGACAUAUGUCUGACAUGGACAUGUGCAAGUUGUUCUUCAUUUUCCCUGUAUUCAGAGUGUUUUUGGAGGGUCACAUCCCCAUACUCGUCUAUGAAAACGUGUCAGACACGGGUUCUCAAGAGAGGUAAAGAGUCAGCACCCCUAAGUGGAACCAGACUAAAAUACUUCUCUUGCAAGAAAAAUAAAACAAGACAAACUCACCACCACUCGAACAAACAGCUGGUUCAGUAGUCUCCUCGAAGCCGGCACAUAUGGCCUUCAAAACAGCACCUUUGGCCAGCUUUCCUGCAUGCAGAUAUGUUAAACGCGGAAAGCACCCAAAAUUUUAUCUGGGAAAUACGGGUAUAAAUACGAACCUCGAUAUUGGCGAUUGUUGACAACAAGUCUAGGCAAUAUGGUAACAUCUCCUCUAGAUCCUUUCCCCGCCUAUGAAAAUGUUUCUAUUAAAUAGCCUCAAAAAGGUCAAAGAAGACAACGAAUUGGAAAAAGAGUAGUGAAACAUAAAAUAUCUUAGCCUGAGAGGACUACUUGAGCAUCUUGUUCUUCUUCCAGAACAGGAUUCUCCAUAUCAGCAUCUGGAUCUCCCAAACACUUUUCGAUCUUUUUAGCGUCAAGCCCUGAAUGGAUGACAAAGGAAUAUCAUCAAUUUAUUACUAGUUUCCAGCAAGAUUUUGAGUUUUCACUGUGCUAUUAAUACUAACAGAAAUUUGAAGAUAAACCGAGGAUCUUCCAAUUAACUGUUUACCAAGAGAUUUGAUAACACCGUCUGCACAUUCCUUAUUAUAUCUUUUCUACUUCAUUGGCCAUCUUAUUUCAAAAUCAGUCACAUAGUCCCACCACACCCAAGGCCUAUUGGUCUCAUUUGCCACUUUGAAAACGCAAAGCUGCCUUAAGGUCUCAAUAACUACAUCUUUCCCUUCAUAACCUGAGCUAAAACCUUGUUCAGGAUCCGGUGCACAGUAUCUUCCGCGGUUGAUGCAUUGAGAUAUGCACUGCCGGCUUAGGGUGAAAGCUUGAGGGCAGUACCAAGUUAUAUAAUGGGGUGUGAACUGCGUAUAGCCACCUUUUUCGAGAAUCUUAGCAGCACCCUUGAAAUCCUUCACAAAUGCCAUCAGCAUAUCGCAUUUAACUCCACAUUCAUCAUUGCUCUUGGUCCAUAACUCGUACUCGUCACGAUCAUCAGGGUUAGAGUUUCACCAGAAGUUUUCUCGAUAAGGGCAGAUGAACUGUCCUCUUCGCGAUUGUCCCUGGUUAUUAAUGCUUCUUCUAUGUCAUCCGCAACAAGCACUGCAGAAGCACUGCUUGCCAUACAUUCCAAAUCUUUAAAGCAAAGAAGCAAUCUGGAGAAAUAAUAAGAAAAAAGGCGCUAAAUGCAGUCUCCGCAAAUAUAUAUAUAUAUCAAAAACUAAAGAAAAAUUACAUCUAAGACCAUAACUCAAUCAAGGACAAUAAGCAAAUUUUACAACCUUGGCAGCAACUGGAGUCCGUAUAUAGGCAACACUUCAGAUUUUUCUCAUCUCUUUAACAGUGUAAUCACAUUAUAGUAAUGUAACUGAAUUAUCUAAUCCGGAAGUAACUAUAAGCCAUUACUACCUAAUGCUUAGAUCAACCAGCAUUCUGAACCUCAUUUUUAUCACCAUACAUCUGUUUGAGAACCAACCAAACUCAAAUCGUACACUCUAAAUCUAUGUUCACUCGGACUCGGGUAUGAGUUUCAAAUGUAGGCACAUGUUUGAGACGGAUAUGUUAGUUUUGGUUUUUCAUGUAUCUGGAGGAUCUUUGAAAAGUCAUGUGUCGCCCAUAUGCAUGUUCGGAUAUUGAGUCUAGAACGGGUACUUCAGACGGAUAUCCAGAGGAUCAUUAACAGCAUAAUCGCGUUGCAGUAAUGUAACUGAAUUAUCUAAUCCGGAGGUAACUAUAAGCCAUUACUACGAAAUGCUUAGAUCACCAUUAUUUUGAAACUCGUUUUUAUUAUCAUCCAUCUGUUUAAGAACCAACCAAACUCAAAUCAUACACUCUAAAUCUCUGUUUACUCCGACUUGGGUAUGAGUUUCAAAUAAAGGUAUGUGUUUGACACUGAUAUAUUCAAUUUUUCUUCAUGUACCUAGGGGAUCUUUGAGAAGACAUAUCACCGCACACAUGUUCAGAUAUUGAGUCCAAAACCGGUACUUCAAGCAAAACUGAGACUCAGAGAAACUUAGCUCUAAACCACUUUAUCCAUACUGGAGAAAACUAUACGCCAUUACUACGAAAUUCUUAGAUAACCAGCAUUUUGAAAUUCAUUUUUAUUAUCAUACAUCUGCCUUGAGAACCAACCCAACCCAAAGCAUAUAUGUUCACUUGGACUCUGGGUGUGAGUUUCAAAUACAGGUAUGUGUUUGACACGGAUAUAUUCAAAUUUUUGUUCAUGUACCUAGAAGGAUCUUUGAAAAAUCAGAUCACCGUACACAUGUUCGGAUAUUGAGUCUAAAACUGGUACUUAAAGCAAAACCAAGAAUCUGAGAAACUUAGCUCUACUUUUGUAGACACCUCUAAGGCUACAUCCCUAUGAAAGGAGGGAAAUGAAGCUAAAUGAAUGGACCUAAUUUCAGAAAACAACUAGUAAGAUAAAAAGAGAGAAAGACAUCCGUCCAAACAACUUAAAGCAAAGCUGAAAACAAGUAAAUUAAUUCAUAAAUGAACGGAUAAAUAUAUAAAUAAUGAUAAUGAAAUCAAUGGAAACUGAUAAACCUAAAUUUAUUUAAAUGAAUUAGUUAAAAUAUAAUAACAUAAAUCCAAGUAGAUGGAAAAACCAAAUCUAUUAACCCUCAAAUCCCAAACUAUCAAAUAGAUUAUUGCCCCAUAAAUAAACCAAAUCCAACAAAUUGAACUUUAAACCUACUAUUUAAAUUCCCCAAUUUGGAAUUACUCAAAUUAGCUAAAACAACACAAAAAUUCCUCAUUGAUCAACCCUACAACAAACAAAUUAUAGCUCAAAUAAACAAAACCAUAGAUUAAUUUUUCUUAGAAGGCGAAAAUUUUGAAAAAAAGAAGAAGAAAAGUGUACCUCCACGAUCGACCAGAACAUAGGUAGGAAGAGAACCAGGCUUGGAUAUAACCGAAAUCCCAAAGUCAUCAAAACCUUUACAAGCUUUUCGGUUUUCUUCAGGGUAAACCACAACACCAGCCAUGCUUCCACCACAUUGAGGUAUCCCAAAGUUCCCAAUCGCACUAUCAUGGGUUGCUUUAAUCUUCUCCGGCGAUGUUACCGCCAAGCUCUUCUUUUCCACCACGAAUCUCGCGUAACAAUUGCGUAUCAAAGAUAAUAAAAUAAACACUUGAGGAAGAUGAUGAUGAUGGAAUGUUCGUAGCUCCAUAUCUUUACUUUUGGUUUUGGAUUUGGAUUGGAUCAGUUUUAAGGACGAUACUGAUGAAGAAGAUGAAGAUCGUGUAUGAAAAACAUGUAAAAUGAAAUGGUUUUUUUGAAAAAAAUAAAAACAGUGAAAAUCGCCAUUAAAUAAUUCUAUGAUUCUUUUAUUUGUUUUAAAUGAAUUUAGAACACAGUUAGUGAAAUUUUGACACGCUACUAAUAAAUAAUCUUAGUCAUUUAUAGAUUAAACAUUUUUCUUUUUUUUAAACAGUGCAAUGAGACCAAAUCCAGUCAUCUGAAGUAAACUUAAUGGGUUUAUGUUUUUCUUAGCCCCUAAAUUUUCACCUACCGUUUAAUUUAGUACAUGUUAAAAAAAAUCCAAUUUAGUCAUUUGUAUUAUACGUGACGGUCUUCUACAUAUACGAAGUCGUUUAAGUUUCGUUCCGGUGAAGAUUUCAAUAUGCUUAGCAUGUUCCAAAGUCCUUUGGCCCAUUCUAGCCAGUAUCGGCCCGUAUCAAUUGGUACAAAAUUUUGAUAUUUAAACUUAUCUUUUAAUUUUUUAUCUUAAACAUUUUAACUUUUUAUAACUACGUUUAAAAUUAAAAUAAACUGAAGCUAUUGAACCAAUUAAUAGAUUUAAAACUUAUUUUUACAUAUAGAUAGAUGUAAUUGAAAUAUAUCAAGAAAUUUUUCGAUGCAUUUAGCACAUAAAAUCCUCCAAAAAAUAAGGAAAACAGUUAAAUAAUAUAACAUGAAGGAUUCAACAAAAACAACCAACAAGGAACAUCACAUUAUUCUUGGAUAACGGCAAUAAUUGUAUCAUUACUGAUUAUCAUCAGUUCUUCAUGGCGCAUCUCUCUAUGCAGGUAUUGACGCAGCCGACAACUUCCUUUGAAGCUGACAAAAACAAAACAAAUCAUUAAGUUAAUAUACGUACUUACUUACCAUCAAAUAUUAAUAUAAAACGGAAAAAGAAAAAUUACCAGGCAUCCUCCCUUGGCUGCUUAGCAUUGAACAUGUCAUGGCAGCACACCCAACAGUGCAGAAUACGGAGCUGCUCGCGAGGUGGGUUUCCUCCAAUGUCUCCACCAGUGCUUCUGACGGCAGGCAGCGUUGAAUACAUUCCCCAAGGGAAGUUCCGUUGGCGACGCAAGUCGUUACGCAAAAAGUAUACCCAAGUCCAAUCGGGACAAGUGCUGUAACAGCUUGACGCGAGGGACUAACAAGGAUCAACAACAGCAAACAGAACAUCAACGCCAAUGAUUUCCCCCCCAUUAUGUAUAUAUUUGAUUUGAUUUGAUAAUGAUUUUUUUGCACUGCUUGAUAUCGGUGUUAUAUACACUUUGAUUGUCAUGCCAAACUACCAAACUGCCUAAUUAAGAUGCCAAACUAUAAUGCCAAAAUUUGAUUGAAUGCAAAAUUAAAAGAACAUUUCUAUAAGUAAUCAAAAUAAUUUGAAAUGAAUUUGUCAUGCCAAACUACAUGGAAAAUGUCUAAUGUCUUGUCCUUUUUUUAGAAUUCUUCCUAAUAAUCUAAAUUCUUCCUAACCAUCCCAAAUAUUCUGAUUGUCAAUGUUCUUUCUCAGAUGUCAUGAAUCACAAAUGAACACUAAACCUUUAACUUCAUAUUUUAAACAUUAACAUCGAAGUAAACACUUAAACCGUGCAAAUAAAAUCUUGAUUCUCACCUUCACAGUGACUGUAUCCAUCUCCUUUGAUUUGCUCGCUAUCAACCAAGAGACAUUCACAAACUCUUCCUCGAAAUGUAUCUUAAGAAGAAAAUCAAUAUAUUCAAAUAAGCUCAUGGAGUAGAGAAUCCCUAUCAAAUCUGUUUCGAUUCAUACCCUGCAGGCUGUGAGAUUUGCUGCUUUUUCUUGCCAACAACCACCAUCAUUUUCCAAGCAUUCAUUCGUCUCCACAUCUGUGAAAAAAGUAACCGCCAUCACUGGUGUUUCAAAUAACAACUGGACAGUAAGUUGAAACACUACACUGGAUUUCUAAAAGCCUAGCUCUCGCCUAUGUUACUUAGUGUGAGAGUUGGAUAAGACAUAUGUCUGACAUGGACAUGUGCAAGUUGUUCUUCAUUUUCCCUGUAUUCAGAGUGUUUUUGGAGGGUCACAUCCCCAUACUCGUCUAUGAAAACGUGUCAGACACGGGUUCUCAAGAGAGGUAAAGAGUCAGCACCCCUAAGUGGAACCAGACUAAAAUACUUCUCUUGCAAGAAAAAUAAAACAAGACAAACUCACCACCACUCGAACAAACAGCUGGUUCAGUAGUCUCCUCGAAGCCGGCACAUAUGGCCUUCAAAACAGCACCUUUGGCCAGCUUUCCUGCAUGCAGAUAUGUUAAACGCGGAAAGCACCCAAAAUUUUAUCUGGGAAAUACGGGUAUAAAUACGAACCUCGAUAUUGGCGAUUGUUGACAACAAGUCUAGGCAAUAUGGUAACAUCUCCUCUAGAUCCUUUCCCCGCCUAUGAAAAUGUUUCUAUUAAAUAGCCUCAAAAAGGUCAAAGAAGACAACGAAUUGGAAAAAGAGUAGUGAAACAUAAAAUAUCUUAGCCUGAGAGGACUACUUGAGCAUCUUGUUCUUCUUCCAGAACAGGAUUCUCCAUAUCAGCAUCUGGAUCUCCCAAACACUUUUCGAUCUUUUUAGCGUCAAGCCCUGAAUGGAUGACAAAGGAAUAUCAUCAAUUUAUUACUAGUUUCCAGCAAGAUUUUGAGUUUUCACUGUGCUAUUAAUACUAACAGAAAUUUGAAGAUAAACCGAGGAUCUUCCAAUUAACUGUUUACCAAGAGAUUUGAUAACACCGUCUGCACAUUCCUUAUUAUAUCUUUUCUACUUCAUUGGCCAUCUUAUUUCAAAAUCAGUCACAUAGUCCCACCACACCCAAGGCCUAUUGGUCUCAUUUGCCACUUUGAAAACGCAAAGCUGCCUUAAGGUCUCAAUAACUACAUCUUUCCCUUCAUAACCUGAGCUAAAACCUUGUUCAGGAUCCGGUGCACAGUAUCUUCCGCGGUUGAUGCAUUGAGAUAUGCACUGCCGGCUUAGGGUGAAAGCUUGAGGGCAGUACCAAGUUAUAUAAUGGGGUGUGAACUGCGUAUAGCCACCUUUUUCGAGAAUCUUAGCAGCACCCUUGAAAUCCUUCACAAAUGCCAUCAGCAUAUCGCAUUUAACUCCACAUUCAUCAUUGCUCUUGGUCCAUAACUCGUACUCGUCACGAUCAUCAGGGUUAGAGUUUCACCAGAAGUUUUCUCGAUAAGGGCAGAUGAACUGUCCUCUUCGCGAUUGUCCCUGGUUAUUAAUGCUUCUUCUAUGUCAUCCGCAACAAGCACUGCAGAAGCACUGCUUGCCAUACAUUCCAAAUCUUUAAAGCAAAGAAGCAAUCUGGAGAAAUAAUAAGAAAAAAGGCGCUAAAUGCAGUCUCCGCAAAUAUAUAUAUAUAUCAAAAACUAAAGAAAAAUUACAUCUAAGACCAUAACUCAAUCAAGGACAAUAAGCAAAUUUUACAACCUUGGCAGCAACUGGAGUCCGUAUAUAGGCAACACUUCAGAUUUUUCUCAUCUCUUUAACAGUGUAAUCACAUUAUAGUAAUGUAACUGAAUUAUCUAAUCCGGAAGUAACUAUAAGCCAUUACUACCUAAUGCUUAGAUCAACCAGCAUUCUGAACCUCAUUUUUAUCACCAUACAUCUGUUUGAGAACCAACCAAACUCAAAUCGUACACUCUAAAUCUAUGUUCACUCGGACUCGGGUAUGAGUUUCAAAUGUAGGCACAUGUUUGAGACGGAUAUGUUAGUUUUGGUUUUUCAUGUAUCUGGAGGAUCUUUGAAAAGUCAUGUGUCGCCCAUAUGCAUGUUCGGAUAUUGAGUCUAGAACGGGUACUUCAGACGGAUAUCCAGAGGAUCAUUAACAGCAUAAUCGCGUUGCAGUAAUGUAACUGAAUUAUCUAAUCCGGAGGUAACUAUAAGCCAUUACUACGAAAUGCUUAGAUCACCAUUAUUUUGAAACUCGUUUUUAUUAUCAUCCAUCUGUUUAAGAACCAACCAAACUCAAAUCAUACACUCUAAAUCUCUGUUUACUCCGACUUGGGUAUGAGUUUCAAAUAAAGGUAUGUGUUUGACACUGAUAUAUUCAAUUUUUCUUCAUGUACCUAGGGGAUCUUUGAGAAGACAUAUCACCGCACACAUGUUCAGAUAUUGAGUCCAAAACCGGUACUUCAAGCAAAACUGAGACUCAGAGAAACUUAGCUCUAAACCACUUUAUCCAUACUGGAGAAAACUAUACGCCAUUACUACGAAAUUCUUAGAUAACCAGCAUUUUGAAAUUCAUUUUUAUUAUCAUACAUCUGCCUUGAGAACCAACCCAACCCAAAGCAUAUAUGUUCACUUGGACUCUGGGUGUGAGUUUCAAAUACAGGUAUGUGUUUGACACGGAUAUAUUCAAAUUUUUGUUCAUGUACCUAGAAGGAUCUUUGAAAAAUCAGAUCACCGUACACAUGUUCGGAUAUUGAGUCUAAAACUGGUACUUAAAGCAAAACCAAGAAUCUGAGAAACUUAGCUCUACUUUUGUAGACACCUCUAAGGCUACAUCCCUAUGAAAGGAGGGAAAUGAAGCUAAAUGAAUGGACCUAAUUUCAGAAAACAACUAGUAAGAUAAAAAGAGAGAAAGACAUCCGUCCAAACAACUUAAAGCAAAGCUGAAAACAAGUAAAUUAAUUCAUAAAUGAACGGAUAAAUAUAUAAAUAAUGAUAAUGAAAUCAAUGGAAACUGAUAAACCUAAAUUUAUUUAAAUGAAUUAGUUAAAAUAUAAUAACAUAAAUCCAAGUAGAUGGAAAAACCAAAUCUAUUAACCCUCAAAUCCCAAACUAUCAAAUAGAUUAUUGCCCCAUAAAUAAACCAAAUCCAACAAAUUGAACUUUAAACCUACUAUUUAAAUUCCCCAAUUUGGAAUUACUCAAAUUAGCUAAAACAACACAAAAAUUCCUCAUUGAUCAACCCUACAACAAACAAAUUAUAGCUCAAAUAAACAAAACCAUAGAUUAAUUUUUCUUAGAAGGCGAAAAUUUUGAAAAAAAGAAGAAGAAAAGUGUACCUCCACGAUCGACCAGAACAUAGGUAGGAAGAGAACCAGGCUUGGAUAUAACCGAAAUCCCAAAGUCAUCAAAACCUUUACAAGCUUUUCGGUUUUCUUCAGGGUAAACCACAACACCAGCCAUGCUUCCACCACAUUGAGGUAUCCCAAAGUUCCCAAUCGCACUAUCAUGGGUUGCUUUAAUCUUCUCCGGCGAUGUUACCGCCAAGCUCUUCUUUUCCACCACGAAUCUCGCGUAACAAUUGCGUAUCAAAGAUAAUAAAAUAAACACUUGAGGAAGAUGAUGAUGAUGGAAUGUUCGUAGCUCCAUAUCUUUACUUUUGGUUUUGGAUUUGGAUUGGAUCAGUUUUAAGGACGAUACUGAUGAAGAAGAUGAAGAUCGUGUAUGAAAAACAUGUAAAAUGAAAUGGUUUUUUUGAAAAAAAUAAAAACAGUGAAAAUCGCCAUUAAAUAAUUCUAUGAUUCUUUUAUUUGUUUUAAAUGAAUUUAGAACACAGUUAGUGAAAUUUUGACACGCUACUAAUAAAUAAUCUUAGUCAUUUAUAGAUUAAACAUUUUUCUUUUUUUUAAACAGUGCAAUGAGACCAAAUCCAGUCAUCUGAAGUAAACUUAAUGGGUUUAUGUUUUUCUUAGCCCCCAAAUUUUCACCUACCGUGUAAUUUAGUACAUGUUAAAAAAAUCCAAUUUAGUCAUUUGUAUUAUACGUGACGGUCUUCUACAUAUACGAAGUCGUUUAAGUUUCGUUCCGGUGAAGAUUUCAAUAUGCUUCGCAUGUUCCAAAGUCCUUUGGCCCAUUCUAGCCAGUAUCGGCCCGUAUCAAUUGGUACAAAAUUUUGAUAUUUAAACUUAUCUUUUAAUUUUUUAUCUUAAACAUUUUAACUUUUUAUAACUACGUUUAAAAUUAAAAUAAACUGAAGCUAUUGAACCAAUUAAUAGAUUUAAAACUUAUUUUUACAUAUAGAUAGAUGUCAUUGAAAUAUAUCAAGAAAAUUUUCGGUGCAUUUAGCACAUAAAAUCCUCCAAAAAUAAGGAAAACAGUUAAAUAAUAUAACAUGAAGGAUUCAACAAAAACAACAAAGGAACAUCACAUUAUUCUUGGAUAACGGCAAUAAUUGUAUCAUUACUGAUUAUCAUCAGUUCUUCAUGGCGCAUCUCUCUAUGCAGGUAUUGACGCAGCCGACAACUUCCUUUGAAGCUGACAAAAACAAAACAAAUCAUUAAGUUAAUAUACGUACUUACUUACCAUCAAAUAUUAAUAUAAAACGGAAAAAGAAAAAUUACCAGGCAUCCUCCCUUGGCUGCUUAGCAUUGAACAUGUCAUGGCAGCACACCCAACAGUGCAGAAUACGGAGCUGCUCGCGAGGUGGGUUUCCUCCAAUGUCUCCACCAGUGCUUCUGACGGCAGGCAGCGUUGAAUACAUUCCCCAAGGGAAGUUCCGUUGGCGACGCAAGUCGUUACGCAAAAAGUAUACCCAAGUCCAAUCGGGACAAGUGCUGUAACAGCUUGACGCGAGGGACUAACAAGGAUCAACAACAGCAAACAGAACAUCAACGCCAAUGAUUUCCCCCCCAUUAUGUAUAUAUUUGAUUUGAUUUGAUAAUGAUUUUUUUGCACUGCUUGAUAUCGGUGUUAUAUACACUUUGAUUGUCAUGCCAAACUACCAAACUGCCUAAUUAAGAUGCCAAACUAUAAUGCCAAAAUUUGAUUGAAUGCAAAAUUAAAAGAACAUUUCUAUAAGUAAUCAAAAUAAUUUGAAAUGAAUUUGUCAUGCCAAACUACAUGGAAAAUGUCUAAUGUCUUGUCCUUUUUUUAGAAUUCUUCCUAAUAAUCUAAAUUCUUCCUAACCAUCCCAAAUAUUCUGAUUGUCAAUGUUCUUUCUCAGAUGUCAUGAAUCACAAAUGAACACUAAACCUUUAACUUCAUAUUUUAAACAUUAACAUCGAAGUAAACACUUAAACCGUGCAAAUAAAAUCUUGAUUCUCAC